Molecule: transfer RNA, 87 nt
Filed under: Selaginella sanguinolenta
Lineage: Eukaryota; Viridiplantae; Streptophyta; Lycopodiopsida; Selaginellales; Selaginellaceae
Also listed under: 2 other names
Description: tRNA-Ser
Rfam family: tRNA
About the family: Transfer RNA (tRNA) molecules are approximately 80 nucleotides in length. Their secondary structure includes four short double-helical elements and three loops (D, anti-codon, and T loops). Further hydrogen bonds mediate the characteristic L-shaped molecular structure. tRNAs have two regions of fundamental functional importance: the anti-codon, which is responsible for specific mRNA codon recognition, and the 3' end, to which the tRNAs corresponding amino acid is attached (by aminoacyl-tRNA synthetases). tRNAs cope with the degeneracy of the genetic code in two manners: having more than one tRNA (with a specific anti-codon) for a particular amino acid; and 'wobble' base-pairing, i.e. permitting non-standard base-pairing at the 3rd anti-codon position.
Source: RNAcentral
GGGGAGAUGACCGAGUGGACUAAAGUGGCGGAUUGCUAAUCCGUUGUGCGAUUAUUCGCACCGAGGGUUCGAAUCCCUCUCUCCCCU